Molecule: ribosomal RNA, 489 nt
Filed under: uncultured bacterium
Lineage: Bacteria
Description: partial 16S ribosomal RNA
Rfam family: Bacterial small subunit ribosomal RNA
Source: RNAcentral
AGCGAACAUUGGCGGUAGGCUUAACACAUGCAAGUCGAGCGAGGCGUAAUAGUCGAGCGGCGAACGGGUGAGUAAUGCUUAGGAAUCUGCCUAUUAGUGGGGGACAACAUCUCGAAAGGGAUGCUAAUACCGCAUACGUCCUACGGGAGAAAGCAGGGGAUCUUCGGACCUUGCGCUAAUAGAUGAGCCUAAGUCGGAUUAGCUAGUUGGUGGGGUAAAGGCCUACCAAGGCGACGAUCUGUAGCGGGUCUGAGAGGAUGAUCCGCCACACUGGGACUGAGACACGGCCCAGACUCCUACGGGAGGCAGCAGUGGGGAAUAUUGGACAAUGGGGGGAACCCUGAUCCAGCCAUGCCGCGUGUGUGAAGAAGGCCUUAUGGUUGUAAAGCACUUUAAGCGAGGAGGAGGCUACUCUAGUUAAUACCUAGGGAUAGUGGACGUUACUCGCAGAAUAAGCACCGGCUAACUCUGUGCCAGCAGCCGCAGUAA